This 58-nucleotide transfer RNA is filed under the name Mesocricetus auratus (golden hamster). Lineage: Eukaryota; Metazoa; Chordata; Mammalia; Rodentia; Cricetidae. The record is from Rfam by way of RNAcentral.
UGGCUCAGUGGUGGAGAGCACUGGCUGCUCUUGCAGAGGACCUGGGUUCAAUUCCCAG